RNAcentral lists this ribosomal RNA (253 nucleotides) under uncultured bacterium. RNAcentral describes it as "partial 16S ribosomal RNA". It matches the Rfam family "Bacterial small subunit ribosomal RNA", at positions 524 to 776 of the family's 1533-position model. The record is from RNAcentral.
UACGUAGGGUGCGAGCGUUGUCCGGAAUUACUGGGCGUAAAGAGCUCGUAGGUGGUUUGUCGCGUUGUUCGUGAAAACUCACAACUCAAUUGUGGGCGUGCGGGCGAUACGGGCAGACUGGAGUACUGCAGGGGAGACUGGAAUUCCUGGUGUAGCGGUGGAAUGCGCAGAUAUCAGGAGGAACACCCGUGGCGAAGGCGGCCUGCUGGGCCGAUCCUGACGCUGAGGCGCGAAGGCGUGGGGAGCGAACGGG